RNAcentral lists this ribosomal RNA (253 nucleotides) under uncultured Pseudomonadota bacterium. RNAcentral describes it as "uncultured proteobacterium partial 16S ribosomal RNA". It matches the Rfam family "Bacterial small subunit ribosomal RNA", at positions 524 to 776 of the family's 1533-position model. The record is from RNAcentral. Lineage: Bacteria; Pseudomonadati; Pseudomonadota.
UACGGAGGGAGCUAGCGUUGUUCGGAAUUACUGGGCGUAAAGGGCACGUAGGCGGGUCGGUCAGUCGGGGGUGAAAUGCCGGAGCUCAACUUCGGAACUGCCUUCGAUACUGCCGACCUCGGGCUCGGAAGAGGUGAGUAGAAUUCCUGGUGUAGAGGUGAAAUUCGUAGAUAUCAGGAAGAAUACCAGUGGCGAAGGCGGCUCACUGGUCCGAUGCCGACGCUGAGGUGCGAAAGCGUGGGGAGCAAACAGG